GGAGGGGAAGGGGGAGGAGAAAAAGGAGGAGAAGGAGGAGGAGGAGGAGGAGGAGGAGGAGGAGGAGGAGGAGGAGGAGGAGGAAAAGGAGGAGUAAUAUCUCCAAAACAAUAAUACACAAGAAAAAGAACUUGAGCAAAGAGGACAAGAAGAAAAGGAAGCGAGAAAAGAUUUUUCAAAGCCCUUUAAAGUAUGCCAAGCUCCUCAUAUAUAUAUAUAUAUAUAUAUAUAAAUAUAUAUAUAUAUCUUCAUAUCUAAUCCCAACACCAACACAAUAAGACCACUUUACAGGUGAGGAAAAUGAGGCAAACCAAGUUAGAUGACUUCUCCAAGAUCACACUUCUGCUCAUUUUACAGAUGAGGAAACUGAGGAAACUAAGUGACUUAUCCAGGGUCACACAGCUAAGAAGUAUGAGGCCAGAUUUGAACUUAUGAAGAGAAGGAAACUGAUGCCUAAGGAGGGGCCCAAAGUCAUGAAAUGGAGGCAGAAAUUAAGACCCAAAGAGAAGAAGAAACCCAAUCAACAUCACAUUCAGGUAAGUGACAGAGCUAUCAAUCCAGGUCUUCACACUUCAAAUCUAGAAUACUUUCUACUGUGUCAUUUUUCCUCUUGUAUACAAUUUAUACUUUGCAAUUCAUUCACACUACAGUAGAGUUUAAUUGCAUUCAUGUGUCUACAUGUGUUAAUGGUAGAAAAAGAAUGAGAAAGGGAAAUAUUAACAGAAGAGAGAGUGGAAGACUGCAAGUUUUGUUCUUUGGUGGGAGAAAUACCUUUCUAGUGGUAGCAAUUCGUUCAAUGAAUAAACAGAUAUUAAACACCUACUAUAUGUUAGGU
This 835-nucleotide long non-coding RNA is filed under the name Monodelphis domestica (gray short-tailed opossum). Its description in RNAcentral is "lncRNA (ENSMODG00000043425.1)". The record is from RNAcentral. Lineage: Eukaryota; Metazoa; Chordata; Mammalia; Didelphimorphia; Didelphidae.